GACGAGGGGUUCAAGCGUUGUUCGGAAUCAUUGGGCGUAAAGCGGGUGUAGGUGGCUCUGUAAGUCAGAAGUGAAAGCCCCGAGCUUAACUUGGGAAGUGCUUUUGAUACUGCAGAGCUUGAGUGUGGGAGAGGAUCGUGGAAUUCCAGGUGUAGUGGUGAAAUACGUAGAUAUCUGGAGGAACACCGGUGGCGAAGGCGGCGAUCUGGCCCAACACUGACACUGAGACACGAAAGCGUGGGGAGCGAACAGG
Molecule: ribosomal RNA, 253 nt
Filed under: uncultured bacterium
Lineage: Bacteria
Description: partial 16S ribosomal RNA
Rfam family: Bacterial small subunit ribosomal RNA
Source: RNAcentral